AAAGAGAAGAUAAUUUUCUUCUUCUUUAUGUUAUUAGAUGUUGGUAUAUUGACAGUUUUUAUUCUAAUCAUAUAUAAAACAACAUAUGUACAAAAAUUAGUAAAUGUCCUCCAACUAUAAUGAAAACUAGAUUUUGACCCGCGCUUUGAAAGAGCGAGAUAUUUUUCGUUGAAAUUUUAAUUAAUCCAUCUAUUUGUUCACUAAUAUGUUUAGGCAUGUGAGUUCAAUUUUCAGUUCGACUGUAAUUUGUUUUUUUUUUUUGGUUUUCGGUUUUUGGUUUUGGUUGUGAUUUUGUUUUUUUCGAAUUAAAAAAUAUAGGGACCGUUCGAUUAUUUGUGAUUAAUUAGUUUAGCUCUCAGUUUGAUUGGGAAAAAAUAUUGAAAACUCAAUAAAUUUUCGAGUUUAAUUUGGUGCUGGUUCGGUACCUGUUUUGGAUAAUACGGUUUAAAAUCACAUUUUUGUAUUUUUAGAAAAAAAUCGGGUAAAUUUAAAUAUUUAACAUAUAAUAUUCUUGUGAUUUCAAUGUAUUCAGAAAUUCGUAUCUUACAUAGUAAUAUUUCUUCUCUUUUAUAAAUCUAUUUAUAUUGAAGUUGAUUUUAAUAGGAAAAUAAAUUAUAUUUAAAACUCUUACAAUAUAUAAUAACUUCCCGA
This 651-nucleotide long non-coding RNA is filed under the name Brassica rapa (field mustard). RNAcentral describes it as "long non-coding RNA (BRAP_LNC007006)". Lineage: Eukaryota; Viridiplantae; Streptophyta; Magnoliopsida; Brassicales; Brassicaceae. The record is from RNAcentral.